GGGCUCUAAGUAUAUGUAUUGAUACGUACUAACUGUUAAUUAGUAAUAAGGCCAAGAUAAGCUGGCCAGGGCUCG
This 75-nucleotide transfer RNA is filed under the name Ascidiella aspersa. RNAcentral describes it as "transfer RNA-Asn". Lineage: Eukaryota; Metazoa; Chordata; Ascidiacea; Phlebobranchia; Ascidiidae. The record is from RNAcentral.